This 461-nucleotide ribosomal RNA is filed under the name uncultured bacterium. RNAcentral describes it as "partial 16S ribosomal RNA". It matches the Rfam family "Bacterial small subunit ribosomal RNA", at positions 338 to 795 of the family's 1533-position model. The record is from RNAcentral.
CCUACGGGAGGCAGCAGUGAGGAAUAUUGGUCAAUGGGCGGGAGCCUGAACCAGCCAAGUCGCGUGAGGGAAGACGGUCCUACGGAUUGUAAACCUCUUUUGCCGGGGAGCAACGGGGUCCUUGCGAGGGCCCGAUGAGAGUACCCGGAGAAAAAGCAUCGGCUAACUCCGUGCCAGCAGCCGCGGUAAUACGGAGGAUGCGAGCGUUAUCCGGAUUUAUUGGGUUUAAAGGGAGCGUAGAUGGGUUGUUAAGUCAGUUGUGAAAGUUUGCGGCUCAACCGUAAAAUUGCAAUUGAUACUGGCAGCCUUGAGUACAGUUGAGGUAGGCGGAAUUCGUGGUGUAGCGGUGAAAUGCUUAGAUAUCACGAAGAACUCCGAUUGCGAAGGCAGCCUACUAAACUGCCACUGACAUUGAUGCUCGAAAGUGUGGGUAUCAAACAGGAUUAGAUACCCGGGUAGUC